This 313-nucleotide ribosomal RNA is filed under the name uncultured Bacteroidales bacterium. Its description in RNAcentral is "bacterial SSU rRNA". It matches the Rfam family "Bacterial small subunit ribosomal RNA", at positions 28 to 339 of the family's 1533-position model. Lineage: Bacteria; Pseudomonadati; Bacteroidota; Bacteroidia; Bacteroidales. The record is from RNAcentral.
GAUGAACGCUAGCGGCAGGCUUAACACAUGCAAGUCGAGGGGCAGCGGGUGUAGCAAUACAUGCCGGCGACCGGCGAAAGGGUGAGUAACGCGUGAGCAACAUGCCCGUAUGUGGGGGAUAGUCGAUGGAAACGUCGCGUAAUACCCCGUAAUAUAUGGAACCGCAUGGUUUUAUAUUGAAAGAUUUAUUGCAUACGGAUUGGCUCGCGUACCAUUAGGUAGACGGCGGGGUAACGGCCCACCGUGCCGACGAUGGUUAGGGGUUCUGAGAGGAAGGUCCCCCACAUUGGAACUGAGACACGGUCCAGACUCC